CAGCCGCCGCGGGAAUACGAAGGGGGCUAGCGUUGUUCGGAAUCACUGGGCGUAAAGCGCACGUAGGCGGAUUUUUAAGUCAGGGGUGAAAUCCCGAGGCUCAACCUCGGAACUGCCUUUGAUACUGGGAAUCUGGAGUCCGGGAGAGGUGAGCGGAACUGCGAGUGUAGAGGUGAAAUUCGUAGAUAUUCGCAAGAACACCAGUGGCGAAGGCGACUCUCUGGUCUGUAACUGACGCUGAGGAGCGAAAGCGUGGGGAGCGAACAGGAUUAGAGACCCCGGUAGUCCCUGUCUCUUAUAC
RNAcentral lists this ribosomal RNA (301 nucleotides) under uncultured bacterium. RNAcentral's name for it is "partial 16S ribosomal RNA". It matches the Rfam family "Bacterial small subunit ribosomal RNA", at positions 509 to 807 of the family's 1533-position model. The record is from RNAcentral.